UAACGGCGAGUGAAGCGGCAACAGCUCAAAUUUGAAAUCUGGCGGCCUCUGGGCCGUCCGAGUUGUAAUUUGAAGAGGAUGCUUUUGGCGAGGCGCCUUCCGAGUGCCCUGGAACGGGACGCCACAGAGGGUGAGAGCCCCGUAUGGUUGGACGCCGAGCCUCUGUAAAGCUCCUUCGACGAGUCGAGUAGUUUGGGAAUGCUGCUCAAAAUGGGAGGUAAACCCCUUCUAAAGCUAAAUACUGGCCAGAGACCGAUAGCGCACAAGUAGAGUGAUCGAAAGAUGAAAAGCACUUUGAAAAGAGAGUUAAACAGCACGUGAAAUUGUUGAAAGGGAAGCGCUUGCGACCAGACUUGUGCCCGUCGAAUCAGCCGCCGCUCGUCGGCGGCGCACUUCGGCGGGCUCAGGCCAGCAUCAGUUCGCUGCAGGGGGAGAAAGGCGGUGGGAAUGUGGCUCUUCGGAGUGUUAUAGCCCGCCGCGCAAUACCCCUCGGCGGACUGAGGACCGCGCAUCUGCAAGGAUGCU
This 525-nucleotide ribosomal RNA is filed under the name Scedosporium boydii. RNAcentral describes it as "eukaryotic LSU rRNA". It matches the Rfam family "Eukaryotic large subunit ribosomal RNA", at positions 84 to 627 of the family's 3401-position model. Lineage: Eukaryota; Fungi; Ascomycota; Sordariomycetes; Microascales; Microascaceae. The record is from RNAcentral.